UAAUAAUCUAGCGGAGAUUUUGGAGUUUCAACCGAGUGAUGUGAGCGACUCGGGGGACGAGGAGGACGAUUCUUGCAGCUGUAUAAUUAUGUAGAUUAUUACAUCAAAUAUGUGUAUAAUGACGGGAAGAAUGAGAUUGCUUUACUGAUAAACUGAGAGUCAUUGGUGGUGUUUCUGACUGUAUACUGAUUGCCUUACUACAACAAUGAGUUCUCGAAGAAUGACGGGUUAAUAUGUCGAUAUUACUUGCGGUGUUUGGUGAUGUGUGUCGGGGAUAUCUUGUACUGUUUUGGUUUUCGAGUUUGUAAGAUCAUAUCGAUGAUGCGAAUAAUGAUGUUAUUAUAACAAACAUUCAGAUUAGUUGAGCUUUGUAA
This is a long non-coding RNA of Cucurbita maxima (winter squash), 374 nucleotides long. RefSeq lists it as uncharacterized. NCBI's taxonomy places the organism in Eukaryota, Viridiplantae, Streptophyta, Magnoliopsida, Cucurbitales, Cucurbitaceae. The record is from RefSeq and is a predicted model, not a curated record. The transcript is spliced from 2 exons.